AAAUAGAUGAUUAGUCAUCUGCUUCUGGAAGAAAUCGGAAGAUUUCUUUGUUUUUGCGUAAGAGACCGAGACGGCGGUCCAGCGGAGGGCUAUUUGGGUAUUAUUGAAAUAUUAUAAUACUUUUCUGCCAAAGGCCAAUGUGUUGCCUUGUAUUGGUACCUAUUUUGAGGCAUGUUUCCACGAAACAUGCCCGGUAUUAUCAC
Molecule: long non-coding RNA, 203 nt
Filed under: Daucus carota (carrot)
Lineage: Eukaryota; Viridiplantae; Streptophyta; Magnoliopsida; Apiales; Apiaceae
Description: long non-coding RNA (DCAR_LNC004162)
Source: RNAcentral